Marinobacter antarcticus is the source of this 97-nucleotide non-coding RNA. It matches the Rfam family "Bacterial small signal recognition particle RNA". From Rfam's summary of the family: The signal recognition particle (SRP) is a universally conserved ribonucleoprotein involved in the co-translational targeting of proteins to membranes. Archaeal SRP consists of a 7S RNA and homologues of the eukaryotic SRP19 and SRP54 proteins. In most bacteria, the SRP consists of a 4.5S RNA and the Ffh protein (a homologue of the eukaryotic SRP54 protein). Lineage: Bacteria; Pseudomonadati; Pseudomonadota; Gammaproteobacteria; Pseudomonadales; Marinobacteraceae. The record is from Rfam.
CAUUGGUGCCUUCGCAACAUGAAACCGCGAACCCGGUCAGGCCCGGAAGGGAGCAGCCGCAGCGGUGGAAUUGAGUGCCGGAGUGUCGCUGAUGGGG